RNAcentral lists this ribosomal RNA (253 nucleotides) under uncultured bacterium. RNAcentral describes it as "partial 16S ribosomal RNA". It matches the Rfam family "Bacterial small subunit ribosomal RNA", at positions 524 to 776 of the family's 1533-position model. The record is from RNAcentral.
GACAGAGGGUGCAAACGUUGCUCGGAAUCACUGGGCGUAAAGGGCGUGUAGGCGGGAAGGAAAGUCAGAUGUGAAAUCCCCAGGCUCAACCUGGGAACUGCAUUUGAAACUCCCUUUCUUGAGUACCGGAGAGGAAAGUGGAAUUCCUGGUGUAGAGGUGAAAUUCGUAGAUAUCGGAAGGAACAUCAGUGGCGAAAGCGACUUCCUGGACCAAUACUGACGCUCAUGUGCGAAAGCGCGGGGAGCAAACAGG